This is a long non-coding RNA of Musca domestica (house fly), 5244 nucleotides long. RefSeq lists it as uncharacterized. The record is from RefSeq and is a predicted model, not a curated record. The transcript has 3 exons. Lineage: Eukaryota; Metazoa; Arthropoda; Insecta; Diptera; Muscidae.
AUUCUGACCGACUUCUGCUCUUUCUCUGAAACCGAGCCAGCAGUUACUUUUUAAUUACACGCUGAUCGCAACGUGGAUACAGUCUCACAAAUUCCUUAGUUUCUAUCUUCUAAUUCUUCCCUUCUUCUAUAUAUCCUUAUUUCCCCCUUUAUUAUACUCCACCAAGGGGGGUGGUUGUUUAAACAGCCACGCAUCCUUUAACCUGGAUGGAGUGAAACUGGUUCUUUCCUUGAGUUCCAAAUAUCUCGGAAGGAUCCUGAGCCAGUAAUUACUUGGGAGAAGGAACAUCAAGGAGCGCACAAAAAAAAGGUCUCAUUGCACUCAAUUCAAGUAAUAUCGAAAUGGGAAAAACUGGAGGCUCAGAUCACAAGUUGCACCUUGGGUGAACAUUACAAAAGUCUCUCCAAUUCCAAUCAAUAGGUUCCUCGUCUGGUAGCAUACGAUUAAGUCCAGAUAGCUUAUGUUCAAAUUAACCCACCGUUUAAAGAGCCGCAUCCUUGCUGACAACAUGAGCUGCUUUUUAGAGCACUUCUCCAUUAAGAAGAGGUAAAAACACGCUGGGCAUAUUUUGCAUGUUAACAAAGAGGAGAGGGUGGCUAUUGGUAGGCGGAAAAGGAUAGAAACUCUAAUAUUCUUCUGUUAAUUAAGGGAUUAUCAUCUAUAGAUUUACUAAAGGUAUCUCCUGACCAAAACUUUAAACCAUUUUAAAAAAUAUACUCUGAGUAAUUUAGUGCUCUAAAACCUUAAAAACAAAAAUUACUGGCAAUUCUGGUUUUCAAAAAAGGCUAUACACAAGCUGUAAUGACUCCAAUUUUGAUUUUUAAAAAUAAAAUCUUCAAUCUACAUCCACGAAAUAAUUAACAGUAAGAUAGGUGGAGAAUUCAGUAAAAAAUUUCGAAAUAUUGAAUAUCGGGCGGUACCGUUAUAUAGAAUCCAAUACAUAAUGUCGCCUAAAUCUCCAAAAUACCGAAUAUCAGGAGUUACCGCUAUAUGGGGGCUAUAAGAAAACGUGAGCAUAUACAGUCAAUGUAUGGAACAAAAUAUGGAACAAUUUAAAGGGAAAUGUGGCUAGAAUGAUCAAAAUGUCGAAUAUCGGGUGGUACCGUUAUAUGCGUACUAUAGAAAAACGUCGACCUAUAUAGACUCACAGGAGGUAUACCUAUUACAAACUAUAAAUACCAAAUUUGGAAAAAUUCCGUGGAAAUGUAGCUAAAAAACAACAUCAUGUUGGCAUAUUUAUAUUGAAUUGUAUUAAAUAAAUGAAAUGAAAAUACCGAAUAUCGGGAGAUACCGUUAUAAGGAACUAUACGAAAAACGUAGACCAAUACAAUUUAUAUCAUUUUCAGCACCUACCAUCCUGGAGUCUUCUAUGAAUAUUUAGAGAUGUUACAAACGUAAUGACAUAUUUAAUAUACCCUUCUUGCAGAUAUUAUUAUCACCAUCAACUCAAGCGUAAGGGAGUGCUCCGUCAGGAAAUCAGUGUCCAGGGACACUCCUCAAGGGAAAUUCUGGGAAAUUCUUGCAAACUAUUUCAGACCUAAUGCAGGGAGCUCUUGUAAGACCAUGGAGAUGUGAGCGUUGCAAUGGGCUUGGUGUCAACCCAUUUAAAAUAGAGCUUGUUCUCUUUACGAGGAAGCGGAAACUCCCGGAAUUUUUACCACCAUCGCUGGAUGGCGUCACAUUAAGUCGUUCGUCUGAAGCCAAGUAUCUCGGCACCAUCUUCGACCAGCGUCUGAACUGGAGGAGGAACAUCGAGGAACGCGCUAAACGAUGCUUGAUAGCACUCUACUCCUGCAAAAACUCCAUAGGGAAGAGCUGGAGACUGAAACCGUAUAUCAUCAAAUGGUUAUAUGAGUCAAUCGUCCGUCCUAUUCUGACUUAUGGUAGUUUAGUUUGGUGGCAAUCUCUUGGAGACGGCUUCCCUCAGUAAAAACAUUGGCAAAGUACAAAGAGCGACAUCACUUUUAAUUACAGUUUAUUUCUAGAGGAACAAGCUGCGAGAUGUCCACUGAUACAACGUGGUCAAUGGCGUAGUCAAUCUUACGGAUAUUCGGUCAUAUUGAAUUAUGUGGAGAACUAAGCUAGACUUCGAAAGACUGGCAUCCACAUACCUAAAUGGAAAGUGGAACGGGUGCAGGUGUUUUCUGCGAAGGCCUGAAUAUCCGGAAUUCAUUCAAGCUCAAUAAAGAUUGUAGCGUAUUCCAGGCAGAAAUCUUUGCUGUCAGAAAGCCGUAGAAUUGCUAAUGGAUCGAACAGAUUGCUGAUGACUAUAUAUGUCGAUAUUCAAGCGGCCCUGAAACUGCUAAAUUCAUCCACCAUCAAAUCUAUGGUGGUCCUGAAGCUGCAGAUGAAUUGGCAAGAAGCGACUCCGAGUCAACUGUUCUAGAGAUUGAGAGCUCGGUAAAAAAAACCUCGUGUCACUUCUUCCAGAUUAUACACAAACACUAAUGGAAGAUUUCAGCAUACUUGGCAGAAUGCAAUAGGCCGUAUUGCCCCCAAAAAUAUGGCCAAUAAUCUCCGAAAGGAGAUCUUUUUCACUCAUUUCCAUGGCUAAAUUGGACCUAAAACUUGUAGUAGGCUUAAUCACAGGUCACUGUAAUAUUAGGGCCAUGACGUCCAAGUGGGGGGUGACGAUACGGGCUAUUCUAGGCUUUGUCAAGACGAGGAAGAAAUAGAAACUGCGGAACACUUACUGUGUCAAUGUAAGCAAACUCUGCAUGAUCUGUCUUCACUCUCCAAUACUGAGCCGUCAAUUAUUCUUCAGCUAGCUGGAAGACUCAAAUAGCUAAAGACAACACGUCACAAUUGAGCAGCAGGUCUCCGAGUGGAGUGGUUGCUAUGCAACCGCGCAUCCUCUAACCUAAUCUACAUAUACAUAUCAGUUUUACAAAUCACCAUUGUAUUAAAUAUUUUUUUUAAUGUUUAAAAAUUUCUUCAUACACAUACUUUUUGUACAUAGUGUAUUUUUUCAUUGGCGACUAUCAAAUCUCAACAAAGUGUUUUGCAAGUUUGUUAACUCGAAACUUUAAAUGGCAACAAACAACAUAAAAAACAACACGCUGCAAAACAUGUCAUUAAAUCUCUAAUAAAAAUAAACCAUCUAAGAAGCGCUACUAAAGUGAUUUGUAUUAGCCCAAAUUGGAAAUGCUACUAUAAAUUUAAAUUAGCCAUAGUGGUGACAACAAUGUGCCGCCAUUGUACAUACAUCUGUAGCCACAAAAUAUAUGUUUAUGAUUUCCAUAUGACAGCUUAAAUUUGGUGUGUGGGGGUGUGUGAAAAUUUAGACAAGACCAACGAUUAAUCUCCUAAAUGAAAAAAAAAAACAACAGCAACAAUCUGGGUUAAGAGAAAAAGUAAAUUUCUGGUAGAAGAACGCAAAAUUCUUUGGAUUUUUAAUGAUAGAAAUUUGUCAUGGGGAAUUUUUUCACUUGUCUCUUGGGAUACAGCGCAAUCGGAAACAUGUCAAAUUAGACAAAUAAACUAGUAAUAUAUAAGUUGAGUAUUGGAUUGGGUGUUUUAAGUUGAUAGUAUCAACGUCUGUUUUAAUCUUUAUAUGUAUAAACAAGGGGUUCCAAUAAAUAAUAGAAAAAAUUGUAAAUUUACCCGUUUCCAAUGAAACAUUUUAAUGUCUGUUAGUUAUCUUGUAAGCCUUGGAUUAAUAAAAUGCUGAGUAGAAAAAUCAUUAACUCUAAUAUUGGUAAUGUAUUAAUCUUUUGCCUCAGGACCAUAUUGCUUCUCCAAAAAAAAAAACUAUCUUCAGCAAAUUGAUGACAUCAGCAUGUAGAUUUACGAUAAAAUUUAGGCCUGCCAGAAUGCUGCGGUGAAAAUCGUCUAUAUGAGCAGGCGAAGGUCCUUCCCAUACGUCAAGAUAACUAUGUACUUUCGUUGCAGUUCCUGCUUGGGUGCUAUCGUGGGGGUCAUCCAAACCAUCAUAUGGUGAAUAGAACUCCUUCACCCAGGCAGACAUAUAUUAAGGACAUAUGCCAUAAAAGAGUGCCUCUAGAUCAAGACGAGUAGAAAGCGGGUCUGAGUGGCAUUCAUACUGAUACAGUCACAUAUACGAUCAGUAAUUAUAGUAUGAAUACCGUCCCCGCUAAAUUCCAUUGCAGUUGAAGAACGUAUGAAGACCAGAGUAGUUUUGGCGCAAUUACGUUCAGUCGUCUCAAUUCGUAUUGAACACGAAUUGACGAAGAUGCGUGAAACGUCUAAGCGGCGUGUAAUACAGUUCCACCCAAAACGCUGCACCUCUUUAAUUGUCCCGCCAAACCUACCACCAAUCACUGGUUACAGACUACAAAACAAAUUUCUUCUAAACACUGACUUUUUAAAAAUUAAGCUUCAUAGUUAGUCACCGUGAAGCACCUUGGACCAUGAUACACCUUGUCGGAUCUCGUAUAAUUAUUGGAACUUAUGGUUUGUAAAGUUCUGUUGACAGAAGAAAUCAAGGCAUGUGUCGCUUCUUUACUGAUGGAUUCUUUUAAAAGCAUGAAAAUAAUCUGGAAUUCCAUUGAAAAAUCCUCUUGACUAGUGUGGCAUAUUUCUCUCGGCGGUUACACUAAGCUGCUGCUUUGGGAACUUGUUAUGCAAAAUACAUGUUCGUGGCUACAAUUUGCCCGAUAUUGUGUUUUGUUUUUAAAGGCUCACCCCUUCCCAUUUAUUAUAAAAUAAACUUCGGCUUAACUCUAGUAAAAAAUCCAGAUUUUUUUAAUUUCCCAGAUGAUGUUUAUGCUUAUGGUGGUCUUAUCAAAAUUAUCGAUUUUUGGACCGGUACUUUUGAUUAAACCACCAAAAGUGGAAAUCGCAAAAAGUAGGACCAAAUAUAUGCGGUAGCCGGUAUUGGACAUACCUAGAGGAGAAAACCUCUUAAACCUCUCUGGUUCCCGAAUUUAAUUCUUCUGGAUCCGUAUUUGAAAAGCCAGACUGUCAGCUAUAAUUUAACAUAGAAAUAUUUUAUUAUUUGUAAUUUUUUAACAUUUAGAGGAGCCUAACUCUUUUAGAGGGAUAAAACCCUUUUAAGUAAGCCCACCUUUUGUUUAGGUAUUUUCAUAAGCUUUCAAAUCUUAUCUAUAUCGGUAUAGUAGAUCCGUGUCUAACCAAGGUAUGAACACGGACUUUCGGCUCAAAACAGGGUGCCCAGCUCCGUACCUCAAAAAAAUAGUUUUCCAAAAUCAGGGUACAAAAACCUACCUCUGGAAAAAAUUCAAAGUUUCAAAUUCUGAGUUUUUACUACACUAAAAGUGUUCC